CGUUACCUAAACCGUUGCUUCGGCGGGCGGCCCCGGGGUUUACCCCCCGGGCGCCCCUGGGCCCCACCGCGGGCGCCCGCCGGAGGUCACCAAACUCUUGAUAAUUUAUGGCCUCUCUGAGUCUUCUGUACUGAAUAAGUCAAAACUUUCAACAACGGAUCUCUUGGUUCUGGCAUCGAUGAAAACGCAGCGAAAUGCGAUAAGUAAUGUGAAUUGCAAAUUCAGUGAAUCAUCGAAUCUUUGAACGCACAUUGCGCCCGCCAGUAUUCUGGCGGGCAUGCCUGUUCGAGCGUCAUUUCAACCAUCAAGCCCCCGGGCUUGUGUUGGGGACCUGCGGCUGCCGCAGGCCCUGAAAAGCAGUGGCGGGCUCGCUGUCACACCGAGCGUAUACAUACAUCUCGCUCUGGGCGUGCUGCGGGUUCCGGCCGUUAAACCACCUUUUAACCCAAUGUUGACCUCGGAUCAUGUAGGAAUACCCGCUGAACUUAAGCAUAUCAAUAAACGGAGGAAAAAAAACCAACAGGGAUUGCCCUAUAACGGCGAGUGAAGCGGCAACAGCUCAAAUUUGAAAUCU
Molecule: ribosomal RNA, 574 nt
Filed under: Ascomycota sp. MS-40
Lineage: Eukaryota; Fungi; Ascomycota
Description: eukaryotic LSU rRNA
Rfam family: 5.8S ribosomal RNA (bases 144-295)
Source: RNAcentral